Molecule: long non-coding RNA, 1867 nt
Organism: Ochlerotatus camptorhynchus
Lineage: Eukaryota; Metazoa; Arthropoda; Insecta; Diptera; Culicidae
Exons: 3
Source: RefSeq, a predicted model, not a curated record
AACCAACAGAUGAAAAGCUACACUAUGAAACAUUUGGAAUGUUUGCAUUAACUUUGGAAAUUAUUUCUAUUAUCGCUAUUCUAAUAGGGAUUAUCGUUAACGGCUAUAUACUACUCAUAGUUACCUUAACCAAACAAGUGUUGAUUGGCCUAGGAUGUGGUUGGAUCUUAUCAAUUCUGUUUAGCAUGCCACAGUUGCUGCUAGUUUCUCCAUAUCAUUAUGAUGCGUACUACGAAGUUUGUCUACCAAACUUCGUAACCAGUGGGUCCCUUAUUUACAACACCAGUUUAACGGCCUUCACCAUAUUUCUUCCAAUCGUUCUAAUUUUGGGAUGUAACAUGAAAGUAUUGAUGAUUGCUCGAUACCAACGACACCGAAUAGCAUCGGCCAUACUCGAAGUAACGCUAUCAGCCCAACUGACAAUCACACAUCAACGAAACCCGUUUUUCAUCCCAAGCUUCUCCAGCCAAGUGGUUCAAAAUUCAGCCAGCCUAAAAAAUCAUACUCACAGCCCAAUGUCAAGCAUAUUCCAGUUAGUUGGUUCAAUCUUUAUUAUCUAUUGUCCAUACUACAUCUGCAAUCUGUGGAACAAUACCAUCGCAGUACUUCGUGAAGAACAUGAAUGGAGCGCCGGGAUUAAGCAAAGUAUAGAGACUGAUUUAAUGAUACCAAAAGUUGCAUUACAAAUCUCAUUGACUUUCCUGCUUUCUUCUCCGUUUGUCAAUGCUUUAUUAUACGGAAUUAAAAAUAAGGUUAUAAGAAAAUCAUUCCACAACUUUUGGCGGAAGCAAAAGUCGAAAAUUGAGAUCCAUUACGAGAUUCAAGCGCGAACACCAUCAACGUGUGGUUCUAGAAGGCCGUCGAUUAAUGAAACAAACGCAGCACAACCUCUGUUAACUAAACAAUUAUCGGAAACAUUUAUGAACACCAGCAAGGCUGAUAUCAAUCACCAACAAUCAGAUAUAAAGCUAAGAUCGGAAUCGCUGUGGUCCUCUAAUUCUAAACUUUCUAGUUACUCAGUUUUAAAUAGUCCAACAGGAAAUUUAACGGUAUCAAAUCUUACACCGAUAAGCUCGAAUGAAUCAAAAUUCGUAUACUUGAAUCCAAUUUCAACAUCAUCAAUACCAUCAACAAUUUCUUCUACGCACAUGCUUGACCCGCCAAUAUCAAUCACUAGUAGCAGUACCUCAAAGAUUACAUGUAAUAUCAUGAGCACCGUCAAGCAUUACUCAUCCCAUAGUACAAAACCAAAGAUCAAAAUUACCAAAACAUUCUCCGAGGAAAAACAACCCUCCCCGAAGCAAGGAAUCAACCAUCCAUUGGACGAUACCACGAUUAAGGGUAUUUCAAAUAAUACCAAAUCCCUAUUUAAUUUAGAACACGCUGAUGACAAUCUAGUUAUGGUAACAACUAAAAGAAUGUAUUCACCCAAAGAAGUUAAAAAGGCAAGUACCGCAGGAACAAUCAACUCAUUUACAUUCAAGAAAUACGCAUCAUUGCAAGAAAUAUCAAUUACUAGCGCUACAGUAACUAUUUGUGAUAUACUGAAAUAAGAGUCACGAGAAAAUUGAUUUUGAAAGCUGACAAAAUGUGCUAAAUCGUGCAUACAAUACAAUACAUUUGUUAUUAGUUGAAGGACAUGAUAUGUCACUAAUAUGUUUAGGUAUCAAAUCUUUAGAGAAGUAAACAUAACAAUCAGUGUCAAGAGACAAAAUCAUUUGCUAGAUAUUACCGAGGGUAUUUAGAUAUGUGAAAGUUGCAAAAACAUUUUCAAAAUUCACUAGAAACCAGCAUGUUACAGAAAACACUAAAUCUAGAAAAACUAGUAACUAGCAAAAGCAAAGCAAAUUGUAAUGAUUCAGAUAUU